Molecule: transfer RNA, 84 nt
Filed under: Actinomycetota bacterium
Lineage: Bacteria; Bacillati; Actinomycetota
Description: tRNA-Leu
Rfam family: tRNA
About the family: Transfer RNA (tRNA) molecules are approximately 80 nucleotides in length. Their secondary structure includes four short double-helical elements and three loops (D, anti-codon, and T loops).
Source: RNAcentral
GCGAGAGUGGUGGAAUUGGCAGACACGCCGGCUUUAGGUGCCGGUGCUCGAAAGAGCUUGGGGGUUCGAGUCCCCCCUCUCGCA